GUCUUCAUGGUGUAGUGGUUAUCACGCUUUCUUCACACGUGCGUAACAUGUGGGUCUCCCGGAAGAGGUCUCCGGUUCGACCCCGGAUGAGGACA
Molecule: non-coding RNA, 95 nt
Organism: Kwoniella dejecticola CBS 10117
Lineage: Eukaryota; Fungi; Basidiomycota; Tremellomycetes; Tremellales; Cryptococcaceae
Source: the annotation of a GenBank genome assembly